Choiromyces venosus 120613-1 is the source of this 85-nucleotide non-coding RNA. The record is from the annotation of a GenBank genome assembly. NCBI's taxonomy places the organism in Eukaryota, Fungi, Ascomycota, Pezizomycetes, Pezizales, Tuberaceae.
UCUUUGAUAGUAUAGUGGUUAGUAUAUCUGCUUGUCAGUUAACCUUAAAUAUAGAUAAUGCUAGGUUCAAUUCCCUGCCAAAGAU